RNAcentral lists this long non-coding RNA (502 nucleotides) under Betta splendens (Siamese fighting fish). RNAcentral's name for it is "lncRNA (ENSBSLG00000011158.1)". Lineage: Eukaryota; Metazoa; Chordata; Actinopteri; Anabantiformes; Osphronemidae. The record is from RNAcentral.
CAUUGUCUUUUCUAUACUGUAGGGGGGCACAUCCCAGUUACCCACAUGCAAGGAGGCUGUCAAACAGAGAAAUCACUGCAGACUGUUGAUACACAGACAUCUGCUGCCCAGCUCAGGAGUGAAGGUGAUGGUGAGGACAGCCACAGCUUCCAUCUGGUAGAGGACUGCUUCCGCUCAGUCUUCCAAAUAGUGAUGAGAACAAGGAUCACCACAUCUCCCUGGUCAUCUAUUUACAACUAUACCUGUUCUGCUGCAGAAACAAAUCUCCAACAUAACAAAGUGUACCCCCUGCACAGGACAUGGACUGUUUACCCUACUUCCAUGCAUUUCGUCUGCAAGGCCCUGCAAAAGCUUCUGUCUUUAAACCCCCAGACUUCUUAAUUAACUCAGUAAGCUAUACAUUGCACACUGGAGUGUGAAGGUAACAGUUUGUUCUAGCUUUGGAGUAAUGGUGCAUUUUUUUGGUUGACAAUAAAGUUGGCUUUAACUAUUACGUAUUUCA